CCUACGUGUGGCUGCAGUGGGGAAUAUUGCACAAUGGGGGAAACCCUGAUGCAGCGACGCCGCGUGAGCGAUGAAGUAUCUCGGUAUGUAAAGCUCUAUCAACAGGGAAGAAGAUGACGGUACCUGACUACGAAGCCCCGGCUAACUACGUGCCAGCAGCCGCGGUAAUACGUAGGGGGCCAGCGUUAUCCGGAUUUACUGGGUGUAAAGGGAGCGUAGACGGCGAUGCAAGUCAGAUGUGAAAGCCCGGGGCUCAACCCCGGGACUGCAUUUGGAACUGUGUGGCUGGAGUGUCGGAGAGGCAGGCGGAAUGCCUAGUGUAGCGGUGAAAUGCGUAGAUAUUAGGAGGAACACCAGUGGCGAAGGCAGCCUGCUGGACGAUGACUGACGUUGAGGCUCGAAAGCGUGGGGAGCAAACAGGAUUAGAUACCCGUGUAGUC
RNAcentral lists this ribosomal RNA (440 nucleotides) under uncultured bacterium. RNAcentral's name for it is "partial 16S ribosomal RNA". It matches the Rfam family "Bacterial small subunit ribosomal RNA", at positions 338 to 795 of the family's 1533-position model. The record is from RNAcentral.